This 700-nucleotide ribosomal RNA is filed under the name uncultured Alphaproteobacteria bacterium. RNAcentral's name for it is "bacterial SSU rRNA". It matches the Rfam family "Bacterial small subunit ribosomal RNA", at positions 69 to 815 of the family's 1533-position model. The record is from RNAcentral. Lineage: Bacteria; Pseudomonadati; Pseudomonadota; Alphaproteobacteria.
AGACCUUCGGGUCUAGCGGCGGACGGGUUAGUAACGCGUGGGAACGUACCCUUUUCUACGGAAUAGCCUCGGGAAACUGAGAGUAAUACCGUAUACGCCCUUUGGGGGAAAGAUUUAUCGGAGAAGGAUCGGCCCGCGUUAGAUUAGAUAGUUGGUGGGGUAAUGGCCUACCAAGUCUACGAUCUAUAGCUGGUUUGAGAGGAUGAUCAGCAACACUGGGACUGAGACACGGCCCAGACUCCUACGGGAGGCAGCAGUGGGGAAUCUUAGACAAUGGGCGCAAGCCUGAUCUAGCCAUGCCGCGUGAGUGAUGAAGGCCUUAGGGUCGUAAAGCUCUUUCGCCUGUGAAGAUAAUGACUGUAGCAGGUAAAGAAACCCCGGCUAACUCCGUGCCAGCAGCCGCGGUAAUACGGAGGGGGUUAGCGUUGUUCGGAAUUACUGGGCGUAAAGCGCGCGUAGGCGGACAUUUAAGUCAGAGGUGAAAUCCCAGGGCUCAACCCUGGAACUGCCUUUGAUACUGGGUGUCUUGAGUUCGAGAGAGGUGAGUGGAAUUCCGAGUGUAGAGGUGAAAUUCGUAGAUAUUCGGAGGAACACCAGUGGCGAAGGCGGCUCACUGGCUCGAUACUGACGCUGAGGUGCGAAAGUGUGGGGAGCAAACAGGAUUAGAUACCCUGGUAGUCCACACCGUAAACGAUGAAUG